CUCCGGAGACCACGGGAUGAUUGGAACACAUCAACAUUCAUACACAGUCACAGAAACAAAACACACACAAAGUGACACAAGGACACGAGCUGACUGAAGAGAGGGGAAAAACAAGCCUCUCGACGACAAGCUCCUUCCUUAGGUCAUAUGAUGACAACAGAGCCAUUUCCAUGACAACUGAGCUCCAUUCACUGAGGAAGAUGAGAUGUGGUCAAAAGCCAUGUACAGAAGUAAUAAAUGGACCUUGAGUUAAGUAUUAAUUCACAACAUUACACACAGUAUGAACAACAUUCACAGCUGUAGCACCUUUAACAUGACAAACUGUGCUAAUUUUUUUUUUUCCCAGGCUUACAGUGGCUAUCCUCCCUACUUUCUUUGUCUCUGGGAAGUCUGAAACAGGAAGUGCCAAACAAGAACAGGAAGAGGAAAUUGGAUCACAGAAGCCCCGGGCACGUGCAGCCGAGUCGCUGCUGCUCGGUGGCUUGUCAGUUUAAGUCUGUCCUCUGAGGCCGGCUUGACACAGAGAGAGACUGAGAUCAGAGGAACACAAAUGAAGAUGGGGCUGGAGGUUCGAGCCAGAGCGAGACAACGAAUGAGAUGCCAGCGUGCUUAUUCACGAUUCACUCACAGAGAAUUUGGGAGGAACAAACUGGAAGCCUGACUCUGAAGACAUGAUUUACAACUUUUUUGCCUUGAGGCAGCAAAUUAGUGUGAUACGAAUUCCAUCGUCCUUUCUGUUGUUUGGACAGGUUCAUGUCCCGUGAAUGUUUGUCUCAUCUUUAUGAGCUGAAAGAUGAACUCUAACAGACUAACUAUUUAGCAUUUUAGCCACAAAAUUGCUAUAUCCAAAAAUAUACUUAACAUCACUGAAAAGCUGAUAAACUAUAUCUAAAUGGAGAUUAAACUAGUAGCCCCUUUACACUUGAUAACAGAAUGUUAGUAGAACUCAAUGAGAGCACAAUUAGCAUGAAGAAACAUUGCAUGUAUGUAUGUAUGUUAGUUUUUAUCAUAUUUAGUCAACCUCAUCCUGUUUUUUGUAAGUCAAGUUUUUUUUUUGACUAAAAGUCUGGGCAUUUUAGUCUCAUCUUAGUCAAAGAAGACUGAAACUAAUUUAGUAUCAGUCAAUGAAAACAUGACAUUUUAGUCUUUUUUUAGCCAGAUUCUAUUGAACUCGUCAUUAUCUGAUGAAAAACACAGGUUGAAUAAUUACGAAUGCAGCAUUGCAGAAAGUGUCUGGUCUGAUGGUAUCAAUUUAAGGAAUACAUCCAAACAUGGAACAUAUUCUGAUUUGCAUAUUUAUUUUCAACCAACACAACUGGGGCCCUACACGCUCUUUAAAACUAUUAUAAAACAAUGAGAGCUGUACAAACAAUAAAACAUUUGAAACCAAUUUUUUGGUUGCCCAAAGUACAAAAUUAGCUUUCUGUUCUAAACAAUGGAAAUAAAAGUAGUUAGCAUAAUAAAAUUGGAAAGAAUACUGUAAAAACACCAAUUGCAAUCUGCUUACAUUAAAAAAAAUGUAAUAAAUCUGAGGUCGGUCUUAACACGAAAAGAUAAAAAAUGUGCCCCAAGGACUUAAUAAUGACAUUGCUGUCUAAUAAGCUAGUUCACAUGACAUCAAUAUCAAAAGUUAAACAAGGAAAGCUUUGCUAGAAUAACAACAACCAUGAUAAGGAAAGUUAAUGUUACACACUGCUAUUUUAAAUCAAUACAGCUGUGUAAUGGCUCGCGUUUCACUCUCAUUAUAUACAUGUAAACAUGACGUGGAGUCUGUUAUCUUCCAUUUUAUGCGUGUAACUACAGUCAUUGUGCAUUGGGCUCCGAGUGCUUCCGAACGUGGGUGACCUACACUCAACGCUGCACCUGAACGCCUCCGGUGUAGACACACAGACGGAGCACUCACUGCUGCUGCUGCUCUGCUAACACGCCGCUCAGGCUAUACCUCCCAUGAGUCUAUGCCUCCCAUGAGUCUAUGAUAUUUUGUCUCCUCUUUUUGAGAUUUUGGUAGUUUUUCUUUUUUAAACUACAUAUUAGUCUCCUCUUUUUUCAUCAACAAUAUUGCAUUGCACAGUUAUUGUUUAAUGACGUCAGGGCCAUCUCAUCUUAGUCAUGGAAAAAAAACUCAAUUAAAAUUAGUACAUGGUUUAUGUCUAUAGAUUAAGAUUUCUAGGCAAAUCAAAAAACUCUAAAGGGCAUUUCCUUUUUUGUAAGUUCAUUACUUAGUGGAACUAAAUUUGAGUAAAUGUGCCUCAGAUCACAAACCACUGUGAGAAACUUCAUACAUUGGGGCUCUAUGUUCCCCUGACAUAGUAUAUUUCAGGCAAACAGGGGGGGCUUAGGCAUGUAUACAGACUCCCAAACUAAUAAUCUACAUGCUGUUCAUCAUCUACUGCAACUUUAAUUGACUAAAUCACAAAUUCUGAAACUGUAGAUUCAAAUAAAGCAAUCAUCUGUCCCUACAAUUACCUAUAUACAAUUCUGUGACAGUAGUAGAAGCUUGUUAUAAUGAAAUUAUAGAAAGCAGAAAGGGAAUUUGGAGCUUUUUAAAUGGAAGCUGAAAGAGAAUAAAUCUCAUUUUAAGACUUCAAUGUCAAUCUGUGAAAUGAUACUGGACAAUCUAAGACAGAAGGCUGGUUUACAUCGAAGCCAAAAAGGGGAAUUACAUUCAAUUUACCAUUUUAACAUGUUAUCCGUUUGGUUUAGAACAGUCUAAUCAAUAGCCACUUAAAGAAACUCAAAUAACUCCAAUUAACUAGAAAUCAGAUAAAGAGUCCAACAUGUGAUGGUCUGUUGACAGUGGAUGGGAAACUGACUUUGUGGGACCUACAGCGCACAGUGAGACAAAUGAGCUUUACAUUAUUGUGGUUUUUAGUGUUUAAAUUCUGGGCCAGAAAAUUUGCUUUUAUCACCAUAUGAUCCUCUGCAGUGUUCCUGUGGUCAACAUUUGAUUUCCAUUGGAUGUCUCUUGAUGUGACAUCUUUAAUUUAAAAGAUUUUU
Thunnus maccoyii (southern bluefin tuna) is the source of this 2997-nucleotide long non-coding RNA. RefSeq lists it as uncharacterized. The record is from RefSeq and is a predicted model, not a curated record. The transcript is spliced from 3 exons. NCBI's taxonomy places the organism in Eukaryota, Metazoa, Chordata, Actinopteri, Scombriformes, Scombridae.